Aedes aegypti (yellow fever mosquito) is the source of this 72-nucleotide non-coding RNA. NCBI's taxonomy places the organism in Eukaryota, Metazoa, Arthropoda, Insecta, Diptera, Culicidae. The record is from Rfam.
GGCUCGGUAGCUUAGUUGGUAAAGCGCUCGUCUAGCAUACAAGAGUCCUGGGUUCUAAUCCCAGCCGAGCAC